Mus caroli (Ryukyu mouse) is the source of this 562-nucleotide non-coding RNA. The record is from RefSeq and is a predicted model, not a curated record. NCBI's taxonomy places the organism in Eukaryota, Metazoa, Chordata, Mammalia, Rodentia, Muridae.
UCGUGGUGUGUGACUAAUAGUGUCACUUGAAGACCUGCAACGAAUAUUGUGGGUGUUAUAAUUUUAUAUAAUAGACUUAAUAAUGAGACUUUAUAAAUAUGAUACUUGAUUGACUAUAAGAUUUGCCUGCAAAUUCAUUUUUCACAGGCCACCACAUCUUUCUGCAAAUUCAUCUUCAGUUCUUGAUGUAACAGAAAGCAAUGCCAGUUGAUCCUGGAAUAUGCAAAUGAUUUCUGAACUUUGAGAAGGCUCUGCCUUUUGAUGUGGCUGUUGCUGGAGCUGACAGGAGUAUUUUACUGGAACCUAGUGUGACUGUCUUCUGAGAGGCUCCCCUGAGCAGCUGAAUGAAACAGAUGCAGAGAGACCCACAGACAAACAUUGGACAGAGCUCAGGAGUCUUGUGAAGGAGUUUGGAGAAGGACCAGGAGACCUGGAAGGGGGCUUCCAGCAGAAAACAUGUCCCAGCUUAUAAGACCCACCACUAAAGAUCUGGAUGAAAGGUGUGUCAAAGACCCAGACCUACCAGACUAGAAGUGGAUCUUCUCACUUCAAAUGAUUUAAU